Molecule: ribosomal RNA, 548 nt
Filed under: uncultured bacterium
Lineage: Bacteria
Description: bacterial SSU rRNA
Rfam family: Bacterial small subunit ribosomal RNA
Source: RNAcentral
UCGAGAAUCUUCCGCAAUGGGCGAAAGCCUGACGGAGCGACGCCGCGUGCAGGACGAAGGCCUUCGGGUUGUAAACUGCUGUCAAAGGUUAUGAACAAGCGUCGGUUAAUACCCGGCGACCUGACAAAAGCCUGAGAGGAAGUCACGGCUAACUUCGUGCCAGCAGCCGCGGUAAGACGAAGGUGGCAAGCGUUGCUCGGAAUUACUGGGCAUAAAGCGCACGUAGGUUGCGAGGUCAGCGAGGAGUGAAAUCCCAUGGCUCACCCAUGGAACUGUUCCUCGAACUGCCUUGCUUGAGGGCGGGAGGGGAGAGUGGAAUUCCUGGUGUAGCGGUGAAAUGCGUAGAUAUCAGGAGGAACACCGGUGGCGAAAGCGACUCUCUGGCCCGAUCCUGACACUGAGGUGCGAAAGCUAGGGGAGCAAACAGGAUUAGAUACCCUGGUAGUCCUAGCCGUAAACGAUGUCUACUAGCCGUUGGGAGACUUGAUUUCUUAGUGGCGCAGCUAACGCACUAAGUAGACCGCCUGGGGAGUACGGCCGCAAGGUUA